Molecule: long non-coding RNA, 364 nt
Organism: Anopheles stephensi (Asian malaria mosquito)
Lineage: Eukaryota; Metazoa; Arthropoda; Insecta; Diptera; Culicidae
Exons: 3
Source: RefSeq, a predicted model, not a curated record
CCGGGAUUUCGUAACCGCUUUUUAAACCUGCCAUCCUUGCGGAACGGAGUGUGGUUGAGCAUCGACUCCAUCGAGCUUUUACGCCCCUAGCCACUGGGCAGAAGGUGGACGACCUUUGACAAGUCUCUAGUAGAAUGGAGCAAACUUCACUGCCAGAAGAAGUGAAAAAAAAACACGAAUAAAUCUCUCACGACUGGGGCGUACGUCACAAAGGGACUGCAACAAAGUAUGGAGCGGCCAUUUUUUUGCCGCCAUUGUCCACUAGCAUUACCAGGGAAGACUCAUCUUCGAAAGGACAUUCCGAUCAUACGUGCACGUGCUCACUGACUGGAGAACCGUUUAAAUGGCGGAGAAUGGGAUCCCA